GAUGAACGCUGGCGGCGUGCCUAAUACAUGCAAGUCGAGCGAACAGACGAGGAGCUUGCUCCUCUGACGUUAGCGGCGGACGGGUGAGUAACACGUGGAUAACCUACCUAUAAGACUGGGAUAACUUCGGGAAACCGGAGCUAAUACCGGAUAAUAUAUUGAACCGCAUGGUUCAAUAGUGAAAGACGGUUUUGCUGUUACUUAUAGAUGGAUCCGCGCCGCAUUAGCUAGUUGGUAAGGUAACGGCUUACCAAGGCAACGAUGCGUAGCCGACCUGAGAGGGUGAUCAGCCACACUGGAACUGAGACACGGUCCAGACUCCUACGGGAGGCAGCAGUAGGGAAUCUUCCGCAAUGGGCGAGAGCCUGACGGAGCAACGCCGCGUGAGUGAUGAAGGUCUUCGGAUCGUAAAACUCUGUUAUUAGGGAAGAACAAAUGUGUAAGUAACUGUGCACGUCUUGACGGUACCUAAUCAGAAAGCCACGGCUAACUACGUG
RNAcentral lists this ribosomal RNA (497 nucleotides) under uncultured bacterium. Its description in RNAcentral is "partial 16S ribosomal RNA". It matches the Rfam family "Bacterial small subunit ribosomal RNA", at positions 28 to 507 of the family's 1533-position model. The record is from RNAcentral.